GUUAUUAUUUCAAGAAUGGAUUCGAAGACAGAACAAUGAAAAUCCAAUAACUGGAAAUGUAUUAGGACUACAGCUUCUGAUGGUUAUACAUUAACUGUGUGAAAACAGCCUUACUGGAAAUGCAGGUACACGUUAUCUACAAACCUGCACAAACUAUAACCAGUGCUGGUUCUAGCCUGCCCAUGCCCCUGAGCAAAAUUCAUUUUGUCCUCAAUCACUUCCUUCAUUAUAUUCACAAAUGCACUACUGUAACAGAAACGUAUUCAUCUGCUUUGCAGCUGCCUAACUGUUAAUCACCAAACAGAGAAUUCAGUAGGUAACUGGUUAUAGGGCUUGGAUGCCACUAUUAAAUGUUCAUGAUGAUAGCCAGCUUAUCGUGUAAUUAAAGUCUGUUUUAGCUGAGAAGUUAUCAUAAAUAAUGGGGCUCAUCAGCAAAUAAACAAACACACAUAUUCAAUAACACAACAGAUUCAAUAGUACAUACGUUUAACAUGUUUCUUUUGUGGGCUCUUCACACUCUGGUUUAUUUCUGAAGAGGUAAGACCACAGUCCCCCUCCUGACUUCUUUCAUCUAUGUCUUGAUAUAGUAGACAACAGACUUUAAACAAGGAUGCAAAAUAUAAAAUGACAGAAAUAUAUUUUUUAUACCUAUUAUGCUGGCUGUAAUGUUACUGUAGAUGUGGUGGAUUAAAUAAAUGCAAAUGGAAUUUUAAAAAUCCCACUAUUUUAAUCACCAUCAUCAGUGUAACACUCUACUUCUUCUUCUUCUUCGUCGUCUUCUUCUUCAGAAUUACCACUGUCUGCAUCUCCACCUAUCAAAUGCACAGAUAUAAUAAAGUUGUUCAUAUCACCACUGGAUAUUAAAGAAAGGUAACAGGCUUAAGUGAAGUGAAAUAAUGUAAAAACAAAUGAUUCGGAAUUAAAUUCUAUAGACAAGGUGUACAGGGUAUACUUGGUCUGCAACAAUGUUUUUUUUACAAUUGUAGAAACUUUCGGUGGUGUACAGGGGUCUUCGUGGGUGCUCUAGACAGUCUGCUAAACUCUAAACGCAGCCCCAUACACAGCAAGCUGUGAUACACUGUGUAUUCUGACACCUUUCUAUCAUAGCCAGCAUGAACUUUUUUCAGCAAUUUGUGCCACACUAGAUCUUCUGUGGGAUAGGACCAAGUGGACUAGCCUUCACUCCCAUGUGCAAGAGUAGGUGUCAAGGACCCUGUCCCUGGUUGUCCUUCCUUUGACCACUUUUUGUAGGUACUAACCAAUGCAUAUUGGGGAUACCCCACAAGACCUGCCGUUUUGGAGAUGCUUUGACCCAAGUGUCUAGACAUAAUUUGGCCCUAGUCAAAGUUGUUCAGAUCCUUACGCUUGCCCAUAUUUCCUGCUUCCAACACAUCAACUUUUGACUGUUCACUUGCUGCCUAAUACAUCCCACCCCUUGACAGGUGCCACUCUAACAAGACAAUCAAUGUUAUUCACUUCACCGGUGAGUGGUUUUAUUGUUAUGGUUGAUUGGUGUAUAUUCAAUAAUACACUAUUACAUUAUACCUAUUAGGUACAUUAUACCUAUUUUUUGUUUCUCAUUGGACCUCCUCAGUCUUGGGCUCUCCCCAGCAUGUGGCACGUCAUCAUUUUCAUUCUUGCCUUUGAUGCACUUCCCAUCUAAUUUGUCAAGGUCCUCUCGUUCUGCAUCAGACUGACCUCUGACUCCAGCUGUAUCUAUCAAUUAAAAUGUAUUCAAAAUCUAUUUCACUGUUUGAAAACCUCUUUCAUUUUAGUAGUGUAAUAUGUGUAGACACCCUAUAUUCAGUAAUUCAUUAUGCACAAAACACCUUUCUUAUUCGCCUUCUGUUGGUUAUGCAAUCUUGUGUCAGUGUCCUCAGGCUGCUCAGUGUCCUGUCCUACAUUAAAGAUGCAACAUGAGGUUAUUAUUUCAAGAAUGGAUUCGAAGACAGAACAAUGAAGUUUUAAUCAACUGGAUCAUUAUUUGCAAAUGAAAACACAAAAAUUGCAAUCCCACCAAAUGUUCACAACUUCAUUAAACAAAAAACGCACCAGAAGCCCGGUUCACACCAGGACAUUUUUUAGCGCAUUAAAUGGUUAGUUUUUUGACGCAUUUUUUUACGCUUAUACCCAUGCGUUAAACGCAGGCGACACGCUGAAUGACAUUGCAAAUUCACUCUCUGACUGCAGAUGGCACUUAUUGACAUGCAGAAAUAACCCGGUACACAAACUGUGACGCUGCACAUCUUCCCAUUUCUGACAGCCACUCGUCAGAAGAAGGAAGCACAACAGUAUCUGAAAUCGAAUUCACAUACCAAUCAUACAACUCUUACUAUUUCUGCUAUAUGCACAUAUGAUAGAAAUACUAUGAGUAGCCCAUAUGCUCAUGUCUCUAUAUAUGCAACCACGCCUACUGUAUAUGCCAAAUGUAAAAUAAAUACAAUAAACUAUCAAUCAAUCAGCGGAUUAUCAUUGAGCAGAGGUGUGAAAUAUUUGCAGGAAAGGACAAAAGAAACAGUGGUGUACUGCUUCCAGUGAGAUUUUGCAGUAUGCAACCGAUGCACACUACACGAGUCAAACAAUCCUAUAAUGCAACGGGACUGGUGCGGACGAGCUCAGAAAAAUAAAAAUCGUGGAAGACAGCGUUGGCUCAUUUUUAAGUAUUAAACCUUGGUUAAACAGGACUUGUUUAACAAUAUCCAAAUAAAUUGUUAACUUAUUUAAGAUUGUUGUGUUUAUGACGACAUCGAAGGUCACAUUACAAUGCUAACAUGGCGGAUGUAGUAUGUCCGGGACCGUAAUCAUAAUACACACAUACUGAUUAGUAUGUACUGUUUAAACGGCAAUGCAGUAGAUACUGUAUCGAAUUCAGUACUUACUGUCACAGUACCCGAUUUUGGACGCAGCUAUAGUUUAAACUUCAGCAGCGAAGGGCAUGUGACCAAAAGCGCGAAUCUCAUUUGUUGGAAAGUUUUUAACGCAGUGUGCCAAAAAAAAUCUAACCCCCGACGUUAAAAAUAAUUGCUUUGACGGCACAUGUAAACCGUGUGGGUGUGAACACUCCCAUUAACAGCCAUUGGGGCGUUAAACGGACCGUUUAAUGUGCUGAAAAAUCGUCCCAGUGUGAACGGGCCUUGAGGCAGUUCUUAAAUUCACUCAAAGUCAGAGGGGGAAAAAAUCUCGCUAAUCCUCAACAGAACUAGAAGAGUUUGCACAUGGUACGAUUAGCUUCCUUUAUAUGUGUAAAUAUUCUAUAUAAAAAUACACAUAACUCUUAAAUGGAAGAAUAAAAAUCAGUACAAGCUGUAAUAAAUAAAAAACCAUAAACCAGAUAUAUUCUUUUAAAUAAAUAAAUAUUAAAGACACUUGGAAAAACACCUGCUGAUUUAGACUUCAUGUAUAAUCUGAGUUUGUAUGCAUCAUACUUUCUCUAGAAAAUAGCAGAUUGUUUUAGGGGCAAUUUAGUAGACUAACAGCAACCUCUUAGUGAAGAGGGGGAACAAAUUAUAAUCUAGAUCUAAACUUAUCAUGUGCUCAACGUUUGAUCUAGUGCCUGCAAAAAAGGGUACAUGCUGAAUGAAGAAAUGACAGCAACUCAAAGUAAAAAAAUGAGUAGACGGUGUGGUGAUAGCCUAGUGAUGAUUAUGAUGAUACGAAGGAGCAAAAUGCACAGGUUACCACCAUUCAUUUUUUCAGCACUAUCCAGCUGUCUAGAAGAGGAGUCGGUCAAUUCAGGGUAAAUCUGUGUAGCUGUGCAAGUUCAUGUGUUCAUACAUUAGUAGUUUAACAGAGCUUCGUUUCGGUUUUGCCUAAACCGAACAAAACACAGGAUUGAACCGAGUUGAUGACGUCAUUGUGCGGAUGGGUUCAGGGCGAAUUCCGUUUCGGAGUGACAGCAAACCGGAAGUUACAAAGGUUUCCCGUCUUUUAAAACGAGCUGCAGUCUCGCUUAUUAGAGUUUCUCCUGAUAAUUCAGUUAUUAGAAGAAACUGCUAGUCAC
Ictalurus punctatus (channel catfish) is the source of this 4000-nucleotide long non-coding RNA. Lineage: Eukaryota; Metazoa; Chordata; Actinopteri; Siluriformes; Ictaluridae. The record is from Ensembl.